CCUAAGACAAUUCAUUCUUCUUCUUCACCAAAGAAAAGAGCAGCGCCGCUCUUUCUCUUCUCCUCCUUUCCCGCGAAGCCACUUUGGCGAGGCCAGCAGAGGCGGUGACGUCCCUCUCUUCCUCUCCCCUCUUUCCUCUUCUCCUUUCCUCCUCUGUUCCGUCGAUCUUCCCUUCCCCUCUCUCGCCUCUUGCAGCAGCCGCCCCAUCUCCGAUGGAGUUCCACUGGCGAAGAUGCCGCGAAGUCCAUCAGGUAGCAGCUCCAGCUGCUGUUCACCAGCUGAAGUCAAAUCCAGUUCUGUCCUCCUCUUUUGGUCUUUUUGAUAGUGAAUUUCGGCAUGCUCAUCGUGAGUCCAGCUCUUAGAAUGUAUCAGAUACCAGCACAGAUUCUAGAGAAAGGAGCCAAAUUUCAAGCCUGUCAGAUAGACUUCCGAUCUCAGGGAAUUUACAUUCUCAGAACUGAAAGCAGCAACGAAGAAUUUCAAUCGUACUACCAAGAUUGGGGAAGGUGGAUUUUGAUGUGUAUAUAAGGCCACAGUAAAGACUGGUGAGGAUUCAGCUAAAAAGAUUGACUUGGCUGUAAAACAACUUGGUAGGAGAGGAUUACAGGCUAACAUCAUCAAGAGGACUGGAACUACCGUAGUUGACACAAAUAAAAAGAAGUGGAAUUUUUAAGGAAAUUGAGGUCAAGUAUCGACUUCAACA
This is a long non-coding RNA of Solanum tuberosum (potato), 703 nucleotides long. RefSeq lists it as uncharacterized. The transcript is spliced from 3 exons. Lineage: Eukaryota; Viridiplantae; Streptophyta; Magnoliopsida; Solanales; Solanaceae. The record is from RefSeq and is a predicted model, not a curated record.